Molecule: long non-coding RNA, 2916 nt
Filed under: Sus scrofa (pig)
Lineage: Eukaryota; Metazoa; Chordata; Mammalia; Artiodactyla; Suidae
Description: lncRNA (ENSSSCG00030068041.1)
Source: RNAcentral
CUAACUUUUAAAACAAUACCAAAAAUGAAGAGUGUCACAUGGAUUACCGGUUGAUCAUCAGAUAAGCUAGGCUUUCAGUUCCCGUUUCAUUGCUAAAGAGCUCUGUGAGUGUGGUAGGCAGCCUCCAAGGUGGUGUUCGAUGACCUCUUCCUUCGGGUAUUCCUGCCCUUGUGUAGUCCCUGCCCACGUGCUAUCAGGGUAGCUCUUCAUAACUGAUAGAAUAUGGUGGAAGGAAUGUUCAUCACUGCUGGGGGUAGAUUAUAAAAGACAUGGCAGCUUCUCUACCUGGCUCUCUCUUGCAUCACUCAUUCUAAAGGAAGUCAGUUGCUCUGUCCUAAUAACACUCAAACAGCCCAAUGGCAGGGCCCUGAGGGGUUUCAGCAGAAGCCACCCCAGGACGUGCCACUUUGGCCUAUGUAUUGUCUUGAACUGAAGACGGUCAAGGUCCAAUAGACUAAAGGAGAGCUUUUUACCUCCCCCUUAACUGCAUUUAAGAAUUCAGAUAGAGGAACAGCGCUCUCAUCAGUGCUAACUAACAAGAGUAGGGCCUGGGUGUGGUGAGCUGGGAGGAGGUGAGCAGGCCAGGUUUGCUCAAAGCCCUCUGCAUGCCCCAUUGUCACUGCACAGCAUGACUAACAUUUUUUUAUCAAGCAUCUUCUCUUUUCAUCUUCCUGUGUUUUCAGCCCCAAACCCCUACCUACUUCUCCUUAGCUCAGGAUGGCCUAUCAGCUUUAUUUACCUGUCUUCGACCCGCCUCAUGUCUAUAUGAGGCUCACAUACAAAGAUAAAUUUGUUUUUCUCCUAUUCAUGUGUCUUAGGUCAAUGUAAUUAUUAUACCAGUCAGAGAACCUAGGAAGGAAGAUGGGAAAAGUUUGUCUCCCCUUUGGCCCAUGUGGUGAGGAACAGAGGUCUGUGACCAACAAUCAUUUCAGUGAGUCUGGAAGGAGAUCUUCCAGCCCCAGUCAAGCCUUCUGAUGACUGGUGUCAGCAGACAAUUUGACUGCAACCUCAUAAGAGAUCCUGAGCCAGAACCACCGCUUAAGUAGUUCUUAAAUUCCUGACCCACAAAAACUAGGAUAUAAUACAGUCAUCCUUUGGUAGCCAGUGGGGAUUUGAUUCAGGAUCCACCAUAAAUAAUAAAAAUCCAUGGAUGCUCAAGACCCAUAGUCGGUCCUCCAUAUUCAUGGGCUCUGCAUCUGCACAUUCAACCAACCACAGAUAACACAAAUGUACUACAUGAUCUGCGCUUGGGUGAAUCUGUGGAUGUGGAGCCCCUAGGUGCAAAAGGCCAAAUAUAUUAAAAAAACUCUGUAUCUUAGUGGACCUGUGCAGUUCAAACCUGUGUUAUUCAAAGGUCAACUGUUUUCAAAUGUACUAUAUGCCAAAUAGGACACCUUACAGACUAACAAUGCAAAAAUAUGUCACCAGUUUAACUUCUGCAUAGUCCUUUAAAUAAAAUCUGCUAUUCUUUUGCAUAUUAAAGAAGUCAACUCUACGUAUUUAUUCUCUAAAGCCACUAAAUUGUGGGGUAAUUUGCUACGCAGUAAUAGAUAACUAAUGCAAUUACCUAGUAGGAAGAACCAUUUUACGUUUCCAUUUCUCAGGUUAUUUUUAGUCAAUAAAUAUUUACUGCCUAAUGUGCCAGAUAUUAUUAAAAUGAGAGUUGGAAUAAGUGCUCCUCCUAGAAAUAACGUUGUGGUUUUCAAUCAUCAGGGAAUCUGUCAGACUAUUCUUACAAUAGAAUCCGUAGUUUUCUAGAUCAAAUGCUCACUUUUAGAAAGGUCCAAACACUACCCGAAACCAACACCAUUACUCAGAUGACCCAACAAUCAAACCCAUAUCACUUGUUGCUUUCCCAGCUCUCCUUGCCACCAAUGGUGGCCAUGUGACGUAAUGCUGGUCAAUGAGACAGAAUAGCCAUUUGUUUAAAGGGUUUCCAUAAAAGGUUUUAAUUUCCUGAUAAAAUAGGCAAAUAAGGCCAGUACCACUCUUCCCUCCCGUCUGCUCUCACUAGAGCCCAAUGCCUGGAGCUAUGGCAACCACCUUGUGGCCAUGAGGGAAAGGCUAGAGGAUUAAGACAUAUCAGGCCUUGAUAUAGUUGAGCUGCCAAACCAAUGCCAGGAGCUUCCUGCCUGCAGAGAUAUAGAACGUUAUUUAAGACAGAAACGUUGCACCUUCCAUCCUUACAGCCAAAUUCAAUCUUAAUUAACCCAAUACCACAGGAAGUGAUGAAUUUCAAAAGAAAUAAGCAAGUUUCCCCACUAUCUCCUUUGCUCUGAAUUCAUGAAUUGUUGGGAUAUAUUUUUGUUAACGUCAACACUACCAAUGACAAAGCCACGCUCCUGCCUUCCUAAGCCAUAGUCAAUAGUAUAGUCAUAAGACAACAUUUCUUGAAUGCUCACCAUGAAAAAAGCACUUUUAAAAGCACUAAUUCACUUAAUCUUCACUAUCAUAUCUUGAGGUCAAUACUAUUGUUUUCUACAUUUUGUAGAUAAGAAAACACAGAGGUCGGAGUUUCCAUGGUGGCACAGCAGAAACGAAUCCGACUAGGAACCAUGAGGUUGAGGGUUCGAUCCCUGGCCUCACUCAGUGGGUUAAGGAUCCAACAUUGCCAUGAGCUGUGGUGUAGGUCACAGACAUGGCUCAGAUCUGACAUUGCUGUGGCGUAGGCCGGUGGCUACAGCUCCAAUUAGACCCUUAGCCUGGAAAUCUCCAUAAGCUAUAGAAGUGGCCGAAAGAAAGAAAGAACAUAGAGGAAACUUGCAAGGUUCCAUAAUGAAUUAAAUAGUAAACCUGAUUAUUUAGUCUUUAUCUUCUUCACCAUUUUGCUUGCUCAUCUGACAGAAUCAGAUAAAGCAAUAAACACAAGAAAAAAUGGCAUCCGUGCCACCCGCCAAAUGCAUAAGAUGUUCCAUG